This 410-nucleotide ribosomal RNA is filed under the name Cryptocercus punctulatus (brown-hooded cockroach). Its description in RNAcentral is "16S rRNA". Lineage: Eukaryota; Metazoa; Arthropoda; Insecta; Blattodea; Cryptocercidae. The record is from RNAcentral.
UUACGCUGUUAUCCCUAAGGUAAUUUAGUCUUAUAAUCACUAAAAAUGGAUCAAAAAUUUAUAAACAAAUAUAAAAAAAUAAAAAGAGUUAUAUUAAUCUUCCCAUCACCCCAACAAAAUUUACAUAAUACUAAACAUAUUAACCCACAAAAAAUAUGAAAUUAAAUUAAACUCUAUAGGGUCUUCUCGUCCCAAAAAAAUAUUCAGGCAUUUUAACCUAAUAUUUAAAUUCAACAAAAUAAAAAUUUAAGAAAGUAAACACCUCGUCAAACCAUUCAUCCCAGCAUUCAAUUAAAAAACUAAUGAUUAUGCUACCUUUGCACAGUCAAAAUACUGCGGCCAUUUAAAAAUCAGUGGGCAGGUAAUACUUCAUAAUAUAUACAAGAAGAGAUGUUUUUGUUAAACAGGCG